This 492-nucleotide ribosomal RNA is filed under the name uncultured bacterium. Its description in RNAcentral is "partial 16S ribosomal RNA". It matches the Rfam family "Bacterial small subunit ribosomal RNA", at positions 29 to 507 of the family's 1533-position model. The record is from RNAcentral.
AGUGAACGCUGGCGGUAGGCCUAACACAUGCAAGUCGAGCGGCAGCACAGUAAGAGCUUGCUCUUACGGGUGGCGAGUGGCGGACGGGUGAGGAAUACAUCGGAAUCUACUUUGUCGUGGGGGGUAACGGAGGGAAACUUACGCUAAUACCGCAUACGACCUACGGGUGAAAGCAGGGGAUCUUCGGACCUUGCGCGAUUGAAUGAGCCGAUGUCGGAUUAGCUAGUUGGCGGGGUAAAGGCCCACCAAGGCGACGAUCCGUAGCUGGUCUGAGAGGAUGAUCAGCCACACUGGAACUGAGACACGGUCCAGACUCCUACGGGAGGCAGCAGUGGGGAAUAUUGGACAAUGGGCGCAAGCCUGAUCCAGCCAUACCGCGUGGGUGAAGAAGGCCUUCGGGUUGUAAAGCCCUUUUGUUGGGAAAGAAAAGCAGCAGGUUAAUACCCCGCUGUUCUGACGGUACCCAAAGAAUAAGCACCGGCUAACUUCGUG